RNAcentral lists this transfer RNA (62 nucleotides) under Naviculales sp. RCC2677. It matches the Rfam family "tRNA", at positions 6 to 65 of the family's 71-position model. From Rfam's summary of the family: Transfer RNA (tRNA) molecules are approximately 80 nucleotides in length. Their secondary structure includes four short double-helical elements and three loops (D, anti-codon, and T loops). The record is from RNAcentral. Lineage: Eukaryota; Bacillariophyta; Bacillariophyceae; Naviculales.
CAUGGUGUAAUGGUUAGCAUUCCAGACUUCCACUCUGGAGAUGGGAGUUCAAAUCUUCCUGC